UCCAUGAUUCAGCGGCGGACGGGUGAGUAAUGCCUAGGAAUCUGCCUGGUAGUGGGGGACAACGUUUCGAAAGGAACGCUAAUACCGCAUACGUCCUACGGGAGAAAGUGGGGGAUCUUCGGACCUCACGCUAUCAGAUGAGCCUAGGUCGGAUUAGCUAGUUGGUGAGGUAAAGGCUCACCAAGGCGACGAUCCGUAACUGGUCUGAGAGGAUGAUCAGUCACACUGGAACUGAGACACAGUCCAGACUCCUACGGGAGGCAGCAGUGGGGAAUAUUGGACAAUGGGCGAAAGCCUGAUCCAGCCAUGCCGCGUGUGUGAAGAAGGUCUUAGGAUUGUAAAGACUUUAAGUUGGGAGGAAGGGCAGUAAGUUAAUACCUUGCUGUUUUGACGUUACCGACAGAAUAAGCACCGGCUAACUUCGUGCCAACAGCCGCGGUAAUACGAAGGGUGCAAGCGUUAAUCGGAAUUACUGGGCGUAAAGCGCGCGUAGGUGGUUCGUUAGGUUGGAUGUGAAAGCCCCGGGCUCAACCUGGGAACUGCAUCCAAAACUGGCGAGCUAGAGUAUGGCAGAGGGUGGUGGAAUUUCCUGUGUAGCGGUGAAAUGCGUAGAUAUAGGAAGGAACACCAGUGGCGAAGGCGACCACCUGGGCUAAUACUGACACUGAGGUGCGAAAGCGUGGGGGAGCAAACAGGAUUAGAUACCCUGGUAGUCCACGCCGUAAACGAUGUCGACUAGCCGUUGGGAUCCUUGAGAUCUUAGUGGCGCAGCUAACGCAUUAAGUCGACCGCCUGGGGGAG
RNAcentral lists this ribosomal RNA (801 nucleotides) under uncultured bacterium. RNAcentral describes it as "bacterial SSU rRNA". It matches the Rfam family "Bacterial small subunit ribosomal RNA", at positions 84 to 881 of the family's 1533-position model. The record is from RNAcentral.